GCUUGGUUUACCGUGGAAUAAAUAUGAAGCACUCCCUUUCUUUUCCUUUCCCACAGCAGGAGAAUGUGCCACCUCUGAGCUCCAGGAAAACAUGCUCCCCUAUAUAAUGGAGAAGACAUUUACGUUAGAUCUAGGCUAAUGACCAGGGCUCAGUCGUCAGGCUGGCAGGAGCUGUAAGUAAUGGAAGGACACCUCAGGUGGCAGAUGACAAAGAAAAACUUCUUGCUUCAUUCAAUGAUGAUCCUUCCUUUUGUUUAAGGAGCGAUGUUGGGCUACUGGAUGGCUCAGCAGAUUAGCCGUCGGCUACUGUUUCUUUCAUCUCUAAGUCACCAAUCCAAAUCCAGAGCAAGUCCUCUCCCGUCAGACACCGUGGCCCCAAAUCAUCCCCUGUGAAUGGAGUUACACACCAAGGAUGAAUUUGUACCACAGGAAGUAACUACAUCAGGUUUACUACAUGAAAGUCAGCUCUGAUAAAGAGAAUGGUAAAUACUGAUAAAGAGCCCACGGCCUAUGUUCCUGCAUUUGGAGAGUACCCGCAUAAAAAUAAUUUAACCAUAAUCCUCCCCCAUAUUCUGCUCAGGCAAAAGCUGGUAUCUCGGGCCUUGUAGCAUGCCCUCAAAUUCAGGCUCUGAUGGACCAGCUUGAGAAAUGGUCUCCCAAGUCAAGGAUCCUUCAGAUAAAACAUCCUGACCCAAGACUUUUACAUAUGGCAGUGUCAGGACCCAAGACUUUUAAAUAAGGCAGUGUCAGCUGGGCACCUCAGCUGAUUCCAGCCCUUCUAGAGGCAUCAAGAAAGCCAGGUCUCCCACAUGGGCUGUGUAGUCUGAUGGAUAGCAUUAGAGCUGGGAGUCAGGAGAGCUAGGUUCUAUUCAUGACUCUGCUACAGAAUCAUGGUGUGGCCGUUGGCAAAUCACUUCCCCUGCAUGUGCGUCAGUUUCUGCAUCUGUAAAAUGAUGGUAAUUAUCCUUAAUCUCCUUUGUAACCCACUCUGAGAUCCUCAGAGGAAAAGCCAAAUAAAAAUGCUGUGUAUCAUUAUUAUCA
Molecule: long non-coding RNA, 1041 nt
Filed under: Chrysemys picta bellii (western painted turtle)
Lineage: Eukaryota; Metazoa; Chordata; Testudines; Emydidae
Description: lncRNA (ENSCPBG00000007680.1)
Source: RNAcentral